GAUCCUAAGAGACGGGGGAAGACCGUCCGAUAGCGCGUUCAGCGCGAGCUUCGAAAGGGAAUCGGGUUAAAAUUUCUGAACCGGGACGCAGCUGCUGACAGCAACGUUAGGGAGUCCGGAGACGUCAGCGAGGGCAUCGGGAAGAGUUAUCUUUUCUAUUUAAAGGCCUGCCCACCCUGGAAACGGCUCAGCCGAAGGUAGGGUCCAGCGGUCGGAAGAGCACCGCACGUCGCGUGGUGUCCGGUGCGCCCCCGGCGGCCCUUGAAAAU
This 269-nucleotide non-coding RNA is filed under the name Gossypium arboreum. RNAcentral's name for it is "Eukaryotic large subunit ribosomal RNA". It matches the Rfam family "Eukaryotic large subunit ribosomal RNA", at positions 1541 to 1812 of the family's 3401-position model. Lineage: Eukaryota; Viridiplantae; Streptophyta; Magnoliopsida; Malvales; Malvaceae. The record is from Rfam by way of RNAcentral.